This 253-nucleotide ribosomal RNA is filed under the name uncultured bacterium. RNAcentral describes it as "partial 16S ribosomal RNA". It matches the Rfam family "Bacterial small subunit ribosomal RNA", at positions 524 to 776 of the family's 1533-position model. The record is from RNAcentral.
UACGUAGGGGGCAAGCGUUGUCCGGAUUUACCGGGUGUAAAGGGCGUGCAGCCGGAGAGACAAGUCAGAUGUGAAAUCCACGGGCUCAACCCGUGAACUGCAUUUGAAACUGUUUCCCUUGAGUGUCGGAGAGGUAAUCGGAAUUCCUUGUGUAGCGGUGAAAUGCGUAGAUAUAAGGAAGAACACCAGUGGCGAAGGCGGAUUACUGGACGAUAACUGACGGUGAGGCGCGAAAGCGUGGGGAGCAAACAGG